RNAcentral lists this ribosomal RNA (253 nucleotides) under uncultured bacterium. Its description in RNAcentral is "partial 16S ribosomal RNA". It matches the Rfam family "Bacterial small subunit ribosomal RNA", at positions 524 to 776 of the family's 1533-position model. The record is from RNAcentral.
GACGGAGGGUGCAAACGUUGCUCGGAAUCACUGGGCAUAAAGCGCACGUAGGCGGCCAACUAAGUCAGGUGUGAAAUCCCUGGGCUCAACCCAGGAACUGCGUCCGAUACUGGUUGGCUUGAAUCCGGGAGAGGGAUGUGGAAUUCCAGGUGUAGCGGUGAAAUGCGUAGAUAUCUGGAGGAACACCGGUGGCGAAGGCGACAUCCUGGACCGGUAUUGACGCUGAGGCGCGAAAGCCAGGGGAGCAAACGGG